AUUGAACGCUGGCGGCAUGCCUUACACAUGCAAGUCGAACGGUAACAGGUCUUCGGAUGCUGACGAGUGGCGAACGGGUGAGUAAUACAUCGGAACGUGCCUAGUAGUGGGGGAUAACUACUCGAAAGAGUGGCUAAUACCGCAUGAGAUCUACGGAUGAAAGCAGGGGAUCGCAAGACCUUGUGCUACUAGAGCGGCCGAUGGCAGAUUAGGAAGUUGGUGGGAUAAAAGCUUACCAAGCCGACGAUCUGUAGCUGGUAUGAGAGGACGAUCAGCGACACUGGGACUGAGACACGGCCCAGACUCAUACGGGAGGCAGCAGUGGAGAAUUUUGGACAAUGGGCGAAAGCCUGAUCCAGCAAUGCCGCGUGCAGAAUGAAGGCCUUCGGAUUGUAAACUGCUGUUGUACGGAACGAAAAGCCCCGGGUUAAUACCCUGGGGUCAUGACGGUACCGUAAGAAUAAGCACCGGCUAACUACGUGCCAGCCGCCGCCGUAA
RNAcentral lists this ribosomal RNA (498 nucleotides) under uncultured bacterium. RNAcentral describes it as "partial 16S ribosomal RNA". It matches the Rfam family "Bacterial small subunit ribosomal RNA", at positions 30 to 523 of the family's 1533-position model. The record is from RNAcentral.